AAGUCGUAACAAGGUUUCCGUAGGUGAACCUGCGGAAGGAUCAUUAAUACGCUUUUGUUUGUAACAAAACAAAACGUUUUAAACUCCAAAAGAAAUAGUGGAAAUAUAACUUCCGGAUGCGAAUGUUGGGAACUGAGUAAAAUCGGUUCUUUGGAAAGGGACUUCAAGCAAUUGACACUUCAGAGUAGAGCAGUGAGGUGAAAUUCUCUUUAUGAGAGUUUGGUUCUGAAAAACAUUUGUAUCCGGUUAUGAUAAUCUGUUCUACAAGUUCUAUCAAACAAUAAACCCCAUGUACAACAACUUGAACUAAACAUUUUUUUGUUGUCUAUUCUUGCACUUGUGUGAGAAGAGACCACAAAGAAAAAACCUGAACUUAAGAACAACUCUUAACAACGGAUAUCUUGGUUCUC
Molecule: unclassified non-coding RNA, 410 nt
Filed under: fungal sp.
Lineage: Eukaryota; Fungi
Description: partial internal transcribed spacer region
Rfam family: Eukaryotic small subunit ribosomal RNA (bases 1-46)
Source: RNAcentral